Molecule: ribosomal RNA, 478 nt
Filed under: Vreelandella boliviensis
Lineage: Bacteria; Pseudomonadati; Pseudomonadota; Gammaproteobacteria; Oceanospirillales; Halomonadaceae
Description: bacterial SSU rRNA
Rfam family: Bacterial small subunit ribosomal RNA
Source: RNAcentral
CCCCAACGGGUGGGACCAUGUGGUUUAUUCGAUGCAACGCGAAGAACCUUACCUACCCUUGACAUCUACAGAAGCCGGAAGAGAUUCUGGUGUGCCUUCGGGAACUGUAAGACAGGUGCUGCAUGGCUGUCGUCAGCUCGUGUUGUGAAAUGUUGGGUUAAGUCCCGUAACGAGCGCAACCCUUGUCCUUAUUUGCCAGCGAGUAAUGUCGGGAACUCUAAGGAGACUGCCGGUGACAAACCGGAGGAAGGUGGGGACGACGUCAAGUCAUCAUGGCCCUUACGGGUAGGGCUACACACGUGCUACAAUGGCCGGUACAAAGGGCUGCGAGCUCGCGAGAGUCAGCGAAUCCCUUAAAGCCGGUCUCAGUCCGGAUCGGAGUCUGCAACUCGACUCCGUGAAGUCGGAAUCGCUAGUAAUCGUGAAUCAGAAUGUCACGGUGAAUACGUUCCCGGGCCUUGUACAAACCCGCCCGUGA